Molecule: long non-coding RNA, 1047 nt
Filed under: Pan troglodytes (chimpanzee)
Lineage: Eukaryota; Metazoa; Chordata; Mammalia; Primates; Hominidae
Description: long non-coding RNA NONPTRT010176
Source: RNAcentral
GUCUUCAUUAUUUUGUUUUACAGGUUAAAAUAAACCACUUGGCGUGAGCUACCGCACCUGGCCAGAAAUGUACUUUUUGAAAAGGGAUAAGAUACUCAGUUUUCAUCUUGUUGCUUUAUUCAGUUUGCUCCGAGGGCAAAAUCAACAGUAGUAGAGAUCACAAACAUUAUUUUGAUUGGCCUCACAAGCCUCAUCAGUAAAACCUGAAAAAACAGAAAAUGUUACACAAGUUGCAAAGAAAGCACUCCUGGAGUUCACUGACAUGAUAGCAAAUGGAAAGAAUAUAAAUGCAACAGGUGUUAACAUUUAGAACAGUACUUGUAAACCUGCUCAUUUCUAGACAAUUCCGGGACUCUCGCUGCGAACCCUUCAUCUAUCACUGCUGAUUUCCUUUGACAUUAAAUAUGACUUUAUGAAAAUCUUCCUAAACCUCACUCUGGCUGCACCUGAGUGGUUCCUAUUCCUACGGCGCUGGCAUAUGCUGUCAGGAUUUCCACUAUCUGUUUCGUUUCUAGGGUCAUUCGGGCUUCCUUCAGCCAGUCCUGUGCCACUCGUCUGGAUUCCCCCUUCAGCUGAUUGACAAACUUUGCUGCUAGCUCCAGAUCACCAUGCUCAAUGCAAUAGGAAGCAUAUGACAGUAAUUUAAAUGUGUUUAUAUCCUCAGGGCAGAGCUCCGGGGGCGGCUUCAGUUGCUGAGGUGGGAAUAGGAGCAGGGACUGUAGGUAGGAGAGGAAGUACUGGUACAAGCUAUUUCUGGUUUCAUCAAUCAUUGCUACCCUUCGGGCCAGUUUUUGAACAGCAUAGAAACGGGCUCUAAGGGUCUCUUCACUGUACACCCCACGGGUCAGGGACUCUGGAGGGAUAGCUGCGGUUAAAGCUUGGGUGAAUUCAUUAUCAGAACAGUUGGCUUUGAUGGCCUCAACUGCACUACCCAGCGGGAUAGUAGGUGUUUCUGCAGAUGAGGUCUUCAUGCUGUACUUUAAUGCCUCCACUGAAAGCCAGAGUUGGUGGGCUUUUCUGGCUUCCUCUUCAGCAACUGCAUGGCCU